UACGUAGGGGGCAAGCGUUAUCCGGAUUUACUGGGUGUAAAGGGAGCGUAGACGGCCAGACAAGUCAGAAGUGAAAGCCCAGGGCUCAACCCUGGGACUGCAUUUGAAACUGCUGUUCUUGAGUGAAGUAGAGGUAAGCGGAAUUCCUAGUGUAGCGGUGAAAUGCGUAGAUAUUAGGAGGAACAUCGGUGGCGAAGGCGGCUUACUGGGCUUUUACUGACGCUGAGGCUCGAAAGCGUGGGGAGCAAAAAGG
This 253-nucleotide ribosomal RNA is filed under the name uncultured Lachnospiraceae bacterium. RNAcentral's name for it is "partial 16S ribosomal RNA". It matches the Rfam family "Bacterial small subunit ribosomal RNA", at positions 524 to 776 of the family's 1533-position model. Lineage: Bacteria; Bacillati; Bacillota; Clostridia; Lachnospirales; Lachnospiraceae. The record is from RNAcentral.